CGGCGGACGGGUGAGUAACGCGUGGGUAACCUGCCUCAUACAGGGGGAUAACAGUUAGAAAUGACUGCUAAUACCGCAUAAGACCACGGUACCGCAUGGUACAGUGGUAAAAACUCCGGUGGUAUGAGAUGGACCCGCGUCUGAUUAGGUAGUUAGUGGGGUAACGGCCUACCAAGCCGACGAUCAGUAGCCGACCUGAGAGGGUGACCGGCCACAUUGGGACUGAGACACGGCCCAG
This 238-nucleotide ribosomal RNA is filed under the name uncultured bacterium. RNAcentral's name for it is "partial 16S ribosomal RNA". It matches the Rfam family "Bacterial small subunit ribosomal RNA", at positions 96 to 334 of the family's 1533-position model. The record is from RNAcentral.